RNAcentral lists this ribosomal RNA (447 nucleotides) under uncultured bacterium. RNAcentral describes it as "partial 16S ribosomal RNA". It matches the Rfam family "Bacterial small subunit ribosomal RNA", at positions 28 to 523 of the family's 1533-position model. The record is from RNAcentral.
GAUGAACGCUGGCGGCAGGCUUAACACAUGCAAGUCGAGCGCCCCGCAAGGGGAGCGGCAGACGGGAGAGUAACACGUGGGAACGUACCCUUUAGUUCGGAACAACCCAGGGAAACUUGGGCUAAUACCGGAUACGUCCGUAAGGAGAAAGAUUUAUCGCUAAAGGAUCGGCCCGCGUCUGAUUAGCUAGUUGGUGAGGUAACGGCUCACCAAGGCGACGAUCAGUAGCUGGUCUGAGAGGAUGAUCAGCCUCACUGGGACUGAGACACGGCCCAGACUCCUACGGGAGGCAGCAGUGGGGAAUAUUGGACAAUGGGCGCAAGCCUGAUCCAGCCAUGCCGCGUGGGUGAUGAAGGCCCUAGGGUUGUAAAGCCCUUUCGGCGGGGAAGAUAAUGACGGUACCCGCAGAAGAAGCCCCGGCUAACUUCGUGCCAGCCGCCGCCGUAA